Molecule: long non-coding RNA, 461 nt
Filed under: Olea europaea (common olive)
Lineage: Eukaryota; Viridiplantae; Streptophyta; Magnoliopsida; Lamiales; Oleaceae
Description: long non-coding RNA (OEUR_LNC007275)
Source: RNAcentral
CACCAUCGGCACUGGCACCCCACCACCACCAACACGGCCAUCUCACCACCACUGCAAAACACCAAGAGCAAGAUGUAAAAUAAAGCGUAAGGGUGCCAAUGACAAAGAAAACUGCAAGAUCCACCGCAAAAGAGAAACACAAAAUGCAGAUGAUGUGCACCAGAUCGCUCCAUACUUAAGAUGCAGUGGUGAUGGGUGCAUCUUGCCAUUACUUCGAGCGCAAUGUCGCCUGCCACCAGAUCUCGCCAUACUUAAGCAGUGGCUUCGUGUGCAACGACGAUGGGGCACUGAUGCCCAUGAAGCAACGGUAUUCGGUGCCGUUACUGAGCCUACUUUUGCCGCGGGAAUGGGCGUUGAUGGUGUGCAGUAAAGUCGUCGGAGGAAUGGAGAAGGGGAUGAGAGAGUGAAAAGAAAGAAGAUGGAGAGUGAGAAAUGACUUCUAGGGUUUGGGAUGAAAUUGG